This is a long non-coding RNA of Passer domesticus (house sparrow), 4812 nucleotides long. RefSeq lists it as uncharacterized. Lineage: Eukaryota; Metazoa; Chordata; Aves; Passeriformes; Passeridae. The record is from RefSeq and is a predicted model, not a curated record. The transcript is spliced from 2 exons.
AUUUAACCUUCAGCCUCCUGCCUUAUAAAGCACCUCUGGGGCAGUGGGUAAAGCUGUUAAUUAUUAAGGUCAACCCUAGCAGACAGAGGUGUCCUCAAGUAUGGGUCGUUGUGAUACACUCAGAUAAUUUCUCCAUUAUGUCAAUAACUAAUUUCCUGAAUUGUUCAAGAAUUGACAGAUUAGCAUCCAUUAACCAAGUCUUAACUCAUGGCUACAGGAGCAGUUACAGGCCACAAGGACAGCAGAACCCAUUUGUAACUCCUUGAGCACAUGUAACAGAUACACACAGACAGUACUGCAGCAGCUUGGUGUUAGUAAAACAAAUAACCACGGUGUGUAAAAAGGCUGGGCAGGCAGUGACAGGCACUGGCUUGAACAGAUGUCCUGAUGUUUGUCCUCAGGUGCUCUGAGAGCACAGGAUGAAGUCACUCUGACUUUUAAAGAACUGUGUACUGAGGAACUGUAAAUGAGCAGAAUCACAACUAAACCAAAAUACCCAUUUUAUUCACUACCAAAAGGGCUUUUUCCUUUUUUUUUUUUUUUCUGGGGAAAAAAAAGCCACACAGCAAACAUUUCAUAGAUUUGAUAAGUGUGACUUUUUACAUUGCUCACCCUUAUGCUGCAAGACAAAUCUCAUUGCUUUUAUUUAUGCAGGCCAUAUAAUUUUGUGUGCCUAAAUGCAAACUUUUUUUUUCAAGCAGAGGCUAAGAAGAACCUUUGGAAACUGCAAUACAGGUAGGUAAGAAAUUCCUUUGCUUCACAAAGUGGUUUUAUUGUCUAAAAUAAAACCUCUAAGCCAAACACAACUGGAAAAGCAGCUGUCCUAAGUGGAGCUGUUGUGAAGGGACACAGGGGGCACAGUGCUGAGGCUGCCUGAGCCUGGCACACCGACUGCACCCAGCUCCUGGAGGAGGAGGGAAUGGCUGUGACUGCACCACAGCGUUACCUGUGUCUGCACUUACCUGCCUGAGACUCUUCUGGCUGACUGCCUGGAGGCUGAGGAGAGACAGGAAAGAGAAGGAAAUGAAACUAUGAUGGUGAUAAAACCUACUAAUACCAACAUUUCUUUAGGGGAUCGGUGGGGAGCGAGGCACUGGAAUAACUGCUGCCAGCCUGCUGCCAGAGGGGUGAUGAGCUGCUUUUCCAAGGCCAGCAGUGAACACAAAAAUAUGUUAAACCCUCCCACAGCACAGAUGAAAGAGCUGGAGACUGGGGGUAUGGAAAAGAGGUCAGAGCAGCUUCUUAAGAAGAAACAUUACUGACUUGCAGCUGCACCUGGGUGUCCCACCAAAGCUGGGGACGAUGGGCUGUGGGAGGGGAUUUCAGGGGCUUGUCUGCUGCUGAAAAGGUGGAAAAGGGGAAGUUCCAAGCAGCAACACUUCUCUCAGACUUAGGCUUGUCUCCUCUUUGUGGCAAGCUUUUGGCUGUACUGCCAGCUGUUCUGCCCCAAAGGGAGAGUUUCAGCUGUCUACUGCAGGCUGUUUGGAGGGGAAGGGAUUGGCAGGCAAUGUUCAAAGACAGCAGUCCUGUUUAAAUGCCAACACAGGGAGUAGGGCAGGCGAGACAGGCAGGGGCUGCCAGCCAGUCACAGGGUGGUGAGCAUGGCAGCAGUCUCAUGGGGAGAAAUGCCUGGGGAGAAAUGUCAAAGCUGGAGUGGGUGGGGACACUGCUCCCUUACCUGGAAUGAUAUCUGGCUUUCCCCCCUCCACAAGACAUCCUUUACUAGACCAGUCACUACCACCUUUCCCCACAAGCCUCAACUCCCUUGUAUUCCUUAGGCUGCCAUGGCCGCAGCAUCACUGCAGUACCUUUGUGCAAGGGGCAGGUGGCCGUGGGAGAGGCCACAGGGGGAGAGCAAGCCCAGGUGCACCACAGGCUGGAGCUGUCUGCCCACCGAAACCGCCCAGGCGGCUGUGACUGAAAUUUAAUUUGCCUGGUGCAUUCCGUGGACAUUUUAAUCAGCAUUUCCUACAAUCUGCUUGGCAAAGAGGCUCGAUUGGCAGCUGCCUGACUGAAUGGGCUUUGCACCCAGUCUAACCUUCUCCAUUCGCAAUUUCCAGUGCUGGAAAACCUCUCUGUCUCACUUUCAGAAGUUUCUAUAGCAAUCACAGCCAUCCAAGUGAAGCACUGGAAAUGGCAGCCCAUUCAGAUUGUAAUUUUGCUGGACAGUAAUUGCUCCUCUCUCCACUGGCCUCUGAAAUGUUACUUUUUGGGAGAUAUCAACUGCAACUGGAGGAGACUGGUCCUCUGCCUGUGUUUCCAACCAGCUUUGCUCCCCCUGUCCCCUGAGGAACUUUGUUAGCUGUUGACAGUGUGUGAACCUCGAUUAGCAGGGAAGCAUUGCUGGGCACAUCAUACCUCAGCUACAGGAAAGACCUGACAUGAGCGAUGCUCUUAACAGGCCUGCAGGAACAAACCUCACCACCCAACACAGCAUGUUGUGACCUGAACAUUAUCCAUCACUGCAUAUAGAAGAAGUUACACAAGUGUGUUUGCCUUUGCUAAUUGUAAAAGACCAGAGCACUCCAAGGUUUUUCCUUCAUGUCAGUGAGCUUACUUUUCCUAGAUUCGUUGACUUCAGCUUAAACACUCACUUGAUCUUUUGUUCUAUGCUUCAUUUUUCAGUGGCUGUGAUUGCUCUUAAUUACUUUGACACUGAAGAACCUUGAACUGAAAAUACAUUAAGUAACUUCUUGCAAUAAGAGAAUGUGGUAGAAUUAUCCCACAGCUUGUGAAGAAAUCAGUUAACCAUUUCUUAAGCUCUUGUCAUAAUCUUCCCCUAUACUUUUAUGGCUAUUGUUGCCUGCUGGAAAAAUUAGCUUAAAGCUGAGUAAGGGGAAUUGUGGAUAAGUGUUUGCAAUUUGGCUUUGGACUGACAUAGUGUGGUUGCACUCAGAGAAUUUGAAGUCUUUGCUCUGGCAGCAGUACUCAAAUCUGGAAAUAUAGGAUUCACAUUGGAAAAGAGUGGAUUUUUAUAACUAUUUAAAUGAACAAUUUCAGCUAGAGAGUGGAUUAACAGAGCCAACUAAACCCUUCACCCUGACAAAGAACUGGCGGGAGGACUAUAGAAACACAUCCAAAAUUUUACCAACAUGAAUGCAGAGUACUAGGUCAGUGAGAAGCAUUUCUGUAUUUUAAUGGCUCUCUUAGAAAUCAAUUCAAUUUAAAACAAAAGUUGUUUUACAAAUAUGUGGAGAAUGCAGAAGGCUGGAGAGGGAGCAAGUGGCCUGCAUCCUCCAUCUGCUCCAUCCUCCCUCUCCUCUCGCUCUAGGAGCUGCUACUGCAAGUCCCCCUUCUGGGCAGACACAGAGAAAAAAGCAGGCAGUGCCCCAAACCCAAGGGUCAGAAAUGUCUCCCAUUCUGCAGGUGCGUGGGGUGCACCCCCAGACCCCACACCCUGUAUUUUAUAUGUGCCAGAGCUCCUGAGGCCCACAGCCAAGCAGCAGGAAAGUCUAAGCCCAGGGGUCUUGGGGAAGCUGAGACACAGAAACCUGUGCUUCUCCAUCAGAAAUGAGGUUACAAAACGAGAGAAUAUUAAGUAUCCCAGGAUGAGAAGCAAUCUUCACUGACAUGGAUCUGGCAAUCUGACACUGAGAUGGACACGUUGAGGAUUGCUCAUCUCUGAGAGAAAAUGGAUCAGGACGACACAAGAGAAGCAUCCACUGGAAGAACAAAACUGCAAAGGCAGAUUGGCAAAACCUGUUCUUGAAGAAUUUCAGAAGAGGCAGCAAAGCCUAGGGAAUUUUUUUGAGCAAAACUUCUAAUUAAACAUUGAGAGCUUACUGCUGCAGGAUGUUUGAAGGGAAAACAGGAUCUUAAAUUGAUCUGGGGAAGGGUCCAAUGUUUCCAUGAGUGACGAGGCACAUCUUGAACAGUAAGAAUCCCAAAUUAUGGGGGGGGGGGAAGCACUUUAAUUGUGGUUUGCAUACAGCUAUUUUGUCUCAUCCUCAAGUUGCUGGAGGAAAGGUGGGAAAAACGGUUCUAAAUGCAAAAAUUAUGGCUGCUGGAAGCUGUAACUGAGGGAGACAAGUUUAAACUACUUCUGGAGGAGGACCUUUCUGACAAGCCCUGGAUAUUUCAACCCAAAAGCUGAACCAUCUCUAGGGCAAUGGCUACUGCUUGUGCAGGCAACCACACGCCCAGAAACUGGCACUGCUGCCAGUCCAGGUUUGCCCCCUGGAUACAGAGACCCAAGAAAAAGCAAUCACACUAAGUCAUGAAGACCAAAGGGCUGGAGCACCUCUCCUGUGGAGACAGGCUGACAGAGGGAAACUGAGGCACCAGGCAUAUUCAGACCCAGGAAAGUGCAGGAAGAAAAAUCCUGAAUCUUAAUUCUGUUAGCUGCAUUAUGAUGGAAAGACUGUUCUUUCUCCCUCUUAUGUGGCUGGUGAUCCUGCUGGGCACUGUUUGAAACCUGGUCAGUUGCUUUUUUUUUCAUGUUUAGAUUGCUGCAAAAUAGGUGACAUCUAUCCAGCUGUGUUGUCAUCACAAACACCUUUACUAAAAGAAAAGCCAUUAAUGGUUUUCCUAGUCAGAUCAAAAACCAGCAACAGCAAAAAGUACAUCUUCAAUCCCUCCAAAGCCUUUGGAAGGCUGUCUUGUUCUACCCAAAAUACUGCAAUUGUUCCCUCAAUCUGCACAGUAACAAAUACUAAAACCAGUAACUCUGAAAGACAGAAUUGCACUGUUUAUUAUUAAACAAAAAAGAAGUUAAAUUUUUGGGCAUUGUGAACAUUCUUUGGUCAAUCAAGUAUUUGAAAGAAGUUAGUUGAGAGAUUCUCAGCCAGGAUGUAACCUUUAGAAAACAUGAAG